Molecule: ribosomal RNA, 548 nt
Filed under: uncultured Glomeromycotina
Lineage: Eukaryota; Fungi; Glomeromycota
Description: SSU rRNA
Rfam family: Eukaryotic small subunit ribosomal RNA
Source: RNAcentral
UUGGAGGGCAAGUCUGGUGCCAGCAGCCGCGGUAAUUCCAGCUCCAAUAGCGUAUAUUAAAGUUGUUGCAGUUAAAAAGCUCGUAGUUGAAUUUCGAGACCGGUUUACUGGUCGUGCUUUUGUACGUACUGGUAUUAUUGGUUUCUCCUUUCUGACGAACUAUAAUGCCAUUAAUUUGGUGUUUUAGGGAAUCAGGACUGUUACUUUGAAAAAAUUAGAGUGUUUAAAGCAGGCUCACGCUUGAAUACAUUAGCAUGGAAUAACGGAAUAGGACGUUUGAUUCUAUUUUGUUGGUUUCUAGGAUCGACGUAAUGAUUAAUAGGAAUAGUUGGGGGCAUUAGUAUUCAAUUGUCAGAGGUGAAAUUCUUGGAUUUAUUGAAGACUAACUACUGCGAAAGCAUUUGCCAAGGAUGUUUUCAUUAAUCAAGAACGAAAGUUAGGGGAUCGAAGACGAUCAGAUACCGUCGUGGUCUUAACCAUAAACUAUGCCGACUAGGGAUCGGAUGAUGUUAAUUUUUUAAUGACUCAUUCGGCGCCUUACGGGAAAC